GAACGUUUGGCUCAGCGGCAGAGCACUGCAUUCACACUGCAGGGGGCACGGGUUCAAUCCCUGUAGCGUUCA
RNAcentral lists this transfer RNA (72 nucleotides) under Holosporaceae bacterium. Its description in RNAcentral is "tRNA-Val". It matches the Rfam family "tRNA". From Rfam's summary of the family: Transfer RNA (tRNA) molecules are approximately 80 nucleotides in length. Their secondary structure includes four short double-helical elements and three loops (D, anti-codon, and T loops). The record is from RNAcentral. Lineage: Bacteria; Pseudomonadati; Pseudomonadota; Alphaproteobacteria; Holosporales; Holosporaceae.